Molecule: ribosomal RNA, 440 nt
Filed under: uncultured bacterium
Lineage: Bacteria
Description: partial 16S ribosomal RNA
Rfam family: Bacterial small subunit ribosomal RNA
Source: RNAcentral
CCUACGGGUGGCAGCAGUGGGGAAUAUUGCACAAUGGGGGAAACCCUGAUGCAGCGACGCCGCGUGAGUGAAGAAGUAUUUCGGUAUGUAAAGCUCGAUCAGCAGGGAAGAAAAUGACGGUACCUGACGAAGAAGCCCCGGCUAACGACGUGCCAGCAGCCGCGGUAAGACGUAGGGGGCAAGCGUUAUCCGGAUUUACUGGGUGGAAAGGGAGCGUAGACGGCAGCGCAAGUCUGAAGUGAAAUCCCAUGGCUUAACCAUGGAACUGCUUUGGAAACUGUGCAGCUGGAGUGCAGGAGAGGUCAGCGGAAUUCCUAGUGUAGCGGUGACAUGCGUAGAUAUUAGGAGGAACACCAGUGGCGAAGGCGGCUUACUGGACUGUAACUGACGUUGAGGCUCGACAGCGUGGGGAGCAAACAGGAUUAGAUACCCGAGUAGUC